This 424-nucleotide ribosomal RNA is filed under the name uncultured bacterium. RNAcentral describes it as "bacterial SSU rRNA". It matches the Rfam family "Bacterial small subunit ribosomal RNA", at positions 355 to 775 of the family's 1533-position model. The record is from RNAcentral.
CGAGGAAUAUUGGUCAAUGGGCGCAAGCCUGAACCAGCCAUCCCGCGUGCAGGAAGACGGCCCUAUGGGUUGUAAACUGCUUUUCCAGGGAGAGAAACCUGCGCACGUGUUGCGCAGUUGACGGUACCCUGGGAAUAAGCAUCGGCUAACUCCGUGCCAGCAGCCGCGGUGAUACGGAGGAUGCAAGCGUUAUCCGGAUUCAUUGGGUUUAAAGGGUGCGUAGGCGGACUAUUAAGUCAGUGGUGAAAGCCUGCAGCUUAACUGCAGAACUGCCAUUGAUACUGAUAGUCUUGAGUUUGGUUAAGGUAGGCGGAAUGUGUAAUGUAGCGGUGAAAUGCUUAGAUAUUACACAGAACACCAAUUGCGUAGGCAGCUUACUGAGCCGACACUGACGCUGAGGCACGAAAGCGUGGGGAUCGAACAG